RNAcentral lists this ribosomal RNA (468 nucleotides) under uncultured bacterium. RNAcentral describes it as "partial 16S ribosomal RNA". It matches the Rfam family "Bacterial small subunit ribosomal RNA", at positions 28 to 507 of the family's 1533-position model. The record is from RNAcentral.
GACGAACGCUGGCGGCGUGCUUAACACAUGCAAGUCGAACGGAAAGGCCCUUCUUUUGUGGGGUGCUCGAGUGGCGAACGGGUGAGUAACACGUGAGUAACCUGCCCUUGACUUUGGGAUAACUUCAGGAAAGUUGGGCUAAUACCGGAUAUGAGCUCCUGCUGCAUGGUGGGGGUUGGCAAGUUUCGGCGGAUGGGGAUGGACUCGCGGCUUAUCAGCUUGUGGGUGGGGUAGUGGCUUACCAAGGCUUUGAAGGGUAGCCGGCCCGGGAGGGGGGCCAGGCACCAUGGGACUGCGGGACGGACCAGUAGUCUACGUGGGGCAGCAGGGGGGAACAUUGCCCAAUGGGCCGGAGUCCUGUGUAGCAACCCCGGGGUUGGGAAGACCGCCUUUGGGGUUGAAACCGCUUUCGCCUAUUACCGAGGGGUAAUGACGGUAAUGGGUAAAGAAGCACCGGCUAACUACGUG